Molecule: long non-coding RNA, 4181 nt
Organism: Lolium perenne
Lineage: Eukaryota; Viridiplantae; Streptophyta; Magnoliopsida; Poales; Poaceae
Source: RefSeq, a predicted model, not a curated record
UACAGCGAGACCUCCGUCCCUUUUCCCCUUCCCCUCAGCGAGCGGUUUGCCUGAUCUCCGUGCGGGCGAAUCGGUUGGCCCUCAGUUGAUUUCCUGCCACAUGAUUCGGCCUCUUCUUGCGAUUUCUUUUCCCCAAGAUUUGGUUUUCUUUCCUUCUUGAGAUUGCUCUUUUCUGCUCGUCCGUGGUUCCGUGGGAGGUAGCUCCCGGCGGCCAAGGUUCAGGGCGCCAGCGACUCUCCACCCUCGUCCUCUGCCAAGCAAGAUGCCACCUCGUCCCUCUCACCCCUGGUGGAAUUUCCAUUUAAGCUCUGCCUUCUGGUUUCUUCCUACCCCUACCCUAGCUCGCUUGGCAUGGUUCCUUACUUCUGCGUGAGCAAUUUUACUCCAUGGUGUUUGCACAUCCAUGGAUCUAGAAAUACUGGAUUCUGUAGGUUGCUGCAAAAAGUUGAUUGUCUCUUUUUACCAAGAAAGAUGGAGAAAUAGUUAGUAAUAGGUUGUACGUGUUUCUGUGGCAUAUGCAUCAGUUUUCUUUGUAAUUGAUUUAUGUAGAAAAAGUGAUUUUUUUUUGUGUGGUCUAGAUCUGGUAAGGUAAGUAGGGGAUAUUUUCAGCUCCUGCAAUUUUCUUGUGCCUUUUGGGGCCGAUCAAUAGCUUGGCCAGCAAGGGCAGCAAUAAGAAUUUUGAGCAGUGUAAUACAGCUAGAAUUAUUUUUGCUAGGUUCUUUGAGAGGUGUGAUGGGCAGAAUACUUCAGCUGGCAACGCGUUUGCCCGGGGUCGGCGAGAAAAUAUGGGUUGGGUGCCGCAAGAUAUGAUGUUGAAUGUGGUGUUGCUCUGUCCGUUGGUUGCAUAUACAACAUGCAUGUUCAAGUGCUGGUGUAUAUACCUCAAGAGAUGCUAUGUGGAUGGUUUCCUCAUUUUCAAUGGUUGGAUGGCUUGAAAGGAGAGACCUAGAGCAACAUCAGCGACCACAUUAAACCUUACUCUGGAAUUACUGCAGGUGAUGGAAGAGGAGAUCGACUAGGAAGGAAAUGAGCAAUUAUUACCACAUCUCUUAUUUGAUGUAUGGUUUUGAUUUCUGAAUACAGAGUAAUUUGAGUGUAUUUCCAGUAUUUCAAGUUUUAACACUAAACAUUCCAUAGUAAUUGUUGGCAUUGUUUCUGUAUUCAGGUGGCUUGAGUAUUUAUUGAAUAGCGUUUCCAAAAAAUUCUCCUCUUUUGUCUACUUCACUUUUUGACUGAAUAGAUGGAGGUUUAAGACAGCUACUAUAUGUACACGUCAAGUUGUGGCUGUUUUAUUUUUCUUCAUUAUGGUUUUGGAUUUGUACAGAUGUAUGUACACGUUAACACAUCUACCAUUGGUUAUUGGACUAACUUUUGUUGAUUUUUACUUUCCAUCUUAUUCAUAGGGUUCAUUUCUAGACUAAUUUUUAAGAUUUGAAGUCAACUUUCUAAAAUCUGUUUAGAUUCACAGAAGACAGGCAAGCAAAUAAUGCCUAGGAGAGAAGCCAUUGAUUCAUACCGUAUUCUGUUUGAGGUGCUGAAGAGAAUGGCAGAUCAGGGAGGAUGCAUAUCGAUGUGGUGAGGACUGACGGUUGCGGGGCGGCGGUAGUGCAACCAUAAGGAUCAGCGGACGUGUGUCGCUGAUUUAGUGAAGAAGAUUCUGGAAAGUUUCUAACUCUUUCUGGUCGUCGUCUAGCUGGGAGUGCCGCCUGUGGUCGAGGCGGCUGCUUCUGUUUGGUCCCUCCUCGCCUCUACUGCGGGAUGAAGCAGGCUAACAAAUGAAAAGUUCAAAGGAACUUGAUUAUGCCGACGAAUCCAAUGGCUGAAUGUCCGAUCUGUGGACUUUUAGAUUCUUUGUUAUUUGAUUAAAUUAUCAGUAUUAUCUUUCUGUGCUCUUUUUGUUUUGUCCGAUUAUUUUGUGGGAAGACCUUAGAUUUUCUUUAUGAUGGCACGAUGUUUCGAAUACUACUAUUUGAUCUAUCUCAUGUAUCUGAACUCUUGAGCUAUUGAUUUGUUUGUAUCAUUAUCCUAAUUUACUAUUGUCAACUUCAGUUAUUUCACAUUCUGGUGAUCGGCUUGAACAUACUAUUAUUUUUAUCAGCUGGUGGAUUAGACUGUAGAAUGAAAUAUGUUCUUUGUCUUAAGAAAUUAUGUAUGAUUUUGAUGUUGUUUCUUGGGCCAUGAUCUGGAAUAAGUUCUGGUUUCAUUCUCCAUUUUCCUGUUUUGUUGUGACACUCAAACUACAAUAAUGGUCAGGCUUCCAAUCUGAUUUAUUUUCCUUGACUUUUUUUCUCAAUUUCUUGGUGUACUAAUUGCACAGAUGCUGGUAGAGAAUUUUUCGUCGGUCUUUACCUUGAUGGCCUCAUAUACCUAACAAUGUUUAUUUUGUAUUUAACCCUAUUUUGUAGCAUUCACAUGAUAUGUACUAAUUACCUUUUUUCUAUUUAUGUUCCCUACUCACAGAUUUCACUGGAAGCAUGUAUGUUUGCUGAUGCUGAGCACUUUCAGGCUGCAGCCAGGUGUUGUUAUAAUAUAUUAAGAGUUUUGGAAAAAUUUGAUGUCCUCCAAUCAGGAAUGAAAACUUUCAGCAUAUGUGCCUGCAUCUAGGUGGCAAAACUAUUCAUACCAAUCUGGGGCAUCCCCUCUAUUUCCCUGGAAUUUACAGUGGUCACGGCAAUAAGACUUCCAAAAAAUAUGCAGCCACUGCUAUUUUGGUUUUUUUAGAGUGUGACAACAAUACAUCGCAUGGUUGAUGUAAUCUUGUUGCAGGGAGCAAUAUUGUUGUGGCAAUCCUUUGGAAGGCACCAAUUUCAUCGACUAGGCAGAAAGUAUGUUUGGUAUUACAUUUUGCCCUUCUCUUCACAAAUAUGUACUAUGUUAUUUUUGAUGUUCAAUUUUGGCUUCAGUAACAAGCUCAUGGGAUAUACUCUGUUUGUAUUAUAUACUCAUUUUGCCCUUCUCUUCACAAAUAUGUUUGGUAUUAUAUACUCUGUUUGCCCUUCUCUUCACAAAUAGGUGCUAGCUUGCUCUGUAUACUCAUUUUCUGCCUUGUAGUAGUCCGCAAGAAGGAGCAGCAGUGAUGGCGAGAAAUCCAAGAGAUGAACCCAAAUAUUCGUCCACUCUGCCUUGCUUGCUAUUUGCCUUCUCAUGUGAUUAUUUUAAUAAAAAGAUGAGCUUUACAACAUACCUGUUCGUCCAUGUUUUAUUAUUCAUCAUUCCAGGUAAAUUUACAUUUCGACGGUAUUCUGUUAAGAUUGUUAUUAUUACACUCGAGUUUUAGUAUGCUGGAAGAAAAAAAUGAUUUCUUUGAUUUCCUGUUUAUCAAGACAGUUUCCUCAUUAUAUGCAGUCAUUAUUAUUAUUAUUAUUGUUGGGUUUCCUAACUUUGAUACUAAAACGGCUUAUAUUGUAGAACAACUGAGUGAUAUCAUUUUGGAAUACUAAAUAUACCACACUGGAAUUUUUAAUCAAGCAAUAAUUGCUGGUGUGAGUCCACCGCCAUUUAUUUAUUUCCUCUACCCAAAAUCUUUCCCGCAGAAUUCAUAUGCGAGAAAGUAAAUUUGUGAGUCUUUUCUUUGUUCCAGUUACACGCAAUAUAUGUCAUAUUUACUAUAUAUUUUGAAGGAUAAAAAUCACUUGACUGCAGAUUUUUUAUUUUUGCACGAAAGUGGUUGAUGCCAUUGUUGACUCAGGAUUUGUAGCUUCUGUCAUUAGCGAGAGAGGAUAGCUGAUAAUGUUGGGGUUCUAUGGUGUUGCAUACUGGGACAACCAUCUAAUUGUGGAUGACAAAUGAAGCAUCGGGAAAAUUUGUCUGCCACACAAUAGAAGAAAAUGUAGAUUUUCUCAAGAAAGGAGAUGAACGCAUCUUGAAUUCCAUCCGUUGUUCUCUAUUUCUAGAGUAGCAGGAUAUUCGAUUCCUUUCGCAGGUGAUUUAGACGGAAAAGGAUUGGGUCUAGAGGGUGUGUUUCCAUAACGCUCAACUUAAAGAGCUAGAAGAUAAAAACGAAUACCUGAUAGAACCAAGGUUGUAUCUCUAAAAUUGUUGUGCAUUCUGUAGUACCUGUAUGGUUGUUUAUAGCCUAUUCGAUUUUGUUGUUUGAUCUCUUUUGCAACACCAAGUGUUAUCUGGUUGGUUGGACUAAUAUGUGCUAUUUUGUGCUGGUCCCGGUAAUCAGGUUAACGCCA